GGGAGGCUACCCAGGAACCAGGAGCUCCGUCUGCAUCUCCGUCUCCAGAUGCUGCAGGACAUCCUGAAAUGAAGCCCGGGUCUGAGUCUUCACAAGGCGGUACGGGCAGAGGGAGCACCAUCGGGGCAGGAACAGGCCUGGAAACCUGUCCUGCUCCAGAUGACCAGCAGUAGCUGACCUGGGAUCUGAUGGCCUCAGUGUAUCACUUCAGUCCGAAUGCAGGAGGCCUCAGAUGCGGAGAAAUGCCCGUGAGCAUUGCCAACACGUCCAGAAGGAGAAACGCGGCGACAGGGAAAGCAGAGUAGACAGAGGCAGUGGUCUUGAACGAUGAAGUACCUUAUCGCCGUGAAGUUCUUAGGAGCAAAAGACCAUGUACCUGUGAAUACCUUGAGGAGGUUCUCCUUUUACCCUGGGAGUGGUAGGGGUGGGAGAGGAGCGCAGUGCAGAGUGGUGAGAAGCCUAAAGUUUUCUUUUCAUUAGCUUCCGGGUCAGCCUACCCUGGGGACUUCAGGAGGAAGCAGUAGUCCCCGCUUAGCCACAGGGCAGACAUUCCAAGACCCUCAGUGGAUGCCAGGAUCAGACAGUUCCAAAUCUGAUGCGCAUAUAUGCUGUGUGUGUGUUUUGCUCUUAUAACCUAGGCAGCUAAUGGGUGACUAAGGGUGGUGGAUGUACUGGAGAGAAGAAUGAGUCACGUCCUGGGUAAGACAGAGCAUUGGGUGUUAAGAUUUCCUUAUGCUAUUCAGAAUGGCUCAUUAAUUAAAACUUAAUGAAUGGUUUCUUUAUGGAAUUCUCCAUUAAUAUUAUUGGACUGUAGUUGACCUGAGAUCAUUGGAACUUUGGGAAACAGAACUGUGGGUAAGAGGAGGGCUUACUGCUAAGUGGGAUUUAAGAAUUCAAAGACUAGAGCCAAACUUGCUUACCUGGUCUUCUUGUAUGGAAUGCUUUGCCAAUGUCAAUUCCAUUAAAUGAAAAGCUCCCGUUGGGGUUGCAGCUUUCAACCCCAGGCAGGUCUUUCCCAGGCCCAAGAAAACAGAGGCAGGAUAAAUAAUGGCAAAUGACUAGCUGUGAUGCCUGAUGAAUUUUCUGCACAAUACUCCAUCCAAAUGCUAGAUCUCACGCAUCCCAGCGUUCGCUGCUCAUGACUGCCAACUGGCGUCAGAUGCGGCCCCUACUGUGAACUCUGGCUCCAUACCUGAGCACCAGAGCUCAGUGAGAGUGUGUCCAACACACGAAGCUGGGACUCAGAGGCAGGUGUGUGCCUGGCCCAGCCAAUGCCUCCGCAGCAGAGCGUGGCCCCUGGGCUUUGCAGUGAGUGAAGCAGCACACGCCUGGUUCUGGUUUCUAGAGUGGAGCUGACUUUCUGGGCAGCCGCAUCCGGUUGCAACUCUCCUUUCUCUACCUCUGUUCUUGCAGAGCAUGAGCUCAUUGCCUGCUAAAAUAAUUAGGACUCCCUGGGCGCCUUUGAAGUCCCCCACUCCUCCGACACCCCAUGGUUAGAGUUUUCUUGAUUUUUAUCUGCUGGGGAGGGAGAGGGCUUCCUGUUGCCAACGCCUCACUUCCCCUCGUACUGCCGCCCCACCGAUUGCUUCCAUAUAGGCUCUACGCUUUUGUCUUUAAUGCUCCCGCGCCGCAGAAAAACUCACCUCUUUGGAUCACACGCUUGGCCUGUCAGGACACUGUCGGUGGAGAGACUUAUGGACUAACUGUUUGGAGUAGGGGUGGGAGUGGAGGAGGUUGUGGGACCAGACAAUGUGUAAAUGUAGUCAUUAGCCACAUGGAAACAGACCCAGUGCAAGCAGCAACAUCUCCCUGUCUGACUGCAGUAUUCCUCUGGCCAGGAUGAGGCUGAGCAAGGGGCUCAAUGAGCACCACAGACUCCCUUUGUUGCUGAACAACACCCCAAACUUGUUGGAGGCAUUGUUGCAGAACCCCCAAGCUGGGUCUGCUCGCCUGAUGCGCAGAAAGCCAGACACUGACGUCAGGGAGAGAGCUAGUCUUUAUUGCAAUGUGCAGAGCAAGGAGCUGGGCAACUGUUGCUUAGUUUUUGGGUUCCCCGAGUAGCCAUGGGUGAAAAUUGGGGGCUGCGAGGUAUGUACGUGCAAGGUUCCUGAUUGGCCAGCGAUGCAGUGAUCUUUAGGGAAUUUACGAUGGUCUGGUGGGUUCCUGCCAGGCCUGGGAGGGGUUACUUGAAUUGUGGUUACAUUUCCUCCAGGAUUUCUCAGAAAGAGGAUACUGGCCAUUAAGGUUUAUCUGCAAGCAGACAGGAGGCUCCUUGUGACUAGAACCUUGAGGACUUUCUCUCAAUUUAGUGAAUUCCUCUUGAUAAAGAAAGGACAGGCAAUAAAACCUUGUGCCAAAGGACACGGAUGCCUGGGGCUAGGGGAAA
Molecule: long non-coding RNA, 2386 nt
Organism: Ochotona curzoniae (black-lipped pika)
Lineage: Eukaryota; Metazoa; Chordata; Mammalia; Lagomorpha; Ochotonidae
Exons: 2
Source: RefSeq, a predicted model, not a curated record